RNAcentral lists this ribosomal RNA (422 nucleotides) under uncultured bacterium. RNAcentral's name for it is "bacterial SSU rRNA". It matches the Rfam family "Bacterial small subunit ribosomal RNA", at positions 355 to 774 of the family's 1533-position model. The record is from RNAcentral.
UAGGGAAUAUUGGGCAAUGGACGGUAGUCUGACCCAGCCAUGCCGUGUGCAGGACGAAGGCGCUCAGCGUUGUAAACUGCUUUUAUCGGGGAAGAACGGCAGUCCUGCGGGAUUGUGUGACGGUACUCGAGGAAUAAGCACCGGCUAACUCCGUGCCAGCAGCCGCGGUAAUACGGAGGGUGCGAGCGUUGUCCGGAUUUAUUGGGUUUAAAGGGUGCGUAGGUGGUUGAGUAAGUCUGGUUUGGAAGUCAGUCGCUUAACGAUUGAGGGUGGCUGGAUACUGCUGAACUUGAAUGCCCUGGAGGUAGGUGGAACGGGUUGUGUAGCGGUGAAAUGCAUAGAUAUGACCCGGAACACCGAUUGCGAAGGCAGGCUACCGGGCCUUAAUUGACACUGAGGCACGAGAGCAUGGGUAGCGAACA